RNAcentral lists this ribosomal RNA (253 nucleotides) under uncultured bacterium. RNAcentral's name for it is "partial 16S ribosomal RNA". It matches the Rfam family "Bacterial small subunit ribosomal RNA", at positions 524 to 776 of the family's 1533-position model. The record is from RNAcentral.
UACAGAGGGUGCGAGCGUUAAUCGGAAUUACUGGGCGUAAAGCGUGCGUAGACGGUAGCGUAAGUCAGAUGUGAAAGCCCCGGGCUCAACCUGAGAAUUGCAUUUGAGACUGCUCUGCUCGGGUGCGGAAGAGGGAAGCGGAAUUUCCGGUGUAGCGGUGAAAUGCGUAGAUAUCGGAAGGAACACCAGUGGCGAAAGCGGCUUCCUGGUCCGGUACCGACGCUGAGGAGCGAAAGCGUGGGGAGCGAACAGG